This 2417-nucleotide ribosomal RNA is filed under the name Proteus mirabilis. Its description in RNAcentral is "bacterial LSU rRNA". It matches the Rfam family "Bacterial large subunit ribosomal RNA", at positions 527 to 2925 of the family's 2925-position model. RNAcentral also lists the same sequence under 1 other name. The record is from RNAcentral. Lineage: Bacteria; Pseudomonadati; Pseudomonadota; Gammaproteobacteria; Enterobacterales; Morganellaceae.
CGGCGAGGGGAGUGAAAAAGAACCUGAAACCGUGUACGUACAAGCAGUAGGAGCCUCUUUAUGGGGUGACUGCGUACCUUUUGUAUAAUGGGUCAGCGACUUAUAUUCUGUAGCAAGGUUAACCACAUAGGGGAGCCGUAGGGAAACCGAGUCUUAACUGGGCGAAUGAGUUGCAGGGUAUAGACCCGAAACCCGGUGAUCUAUCCAUGGGCAGGUUGAAGGUUGGGUAACACUAACUGGAGGACCGAACCGACUAAUGUUGAAAAAUUAGCGGAUGACUUGUGGAUGGGGGUGAAAGGCCAAUCAAACCGGGAGAUAGCUGGUUCUCCCCGAAAGCUAUUUAGGUAGCGCCUCGUGAACUCAUCUUCGGGGGUAGAGCACUGUUUCGACUAGGGGGUCAUCCCGACUUACCAACUCGAUGCAAACUGCGAAUACCGAAGAAUGUUAUCACGGGAGACACACGGCGGGUGCUAACGUCCGUCGUGAAGAGGGAAACAACCCAGACCGCCAGCUAAGGUCCCAAAGUCAUGGUUAAGUGGGAAACGAAGUGGGAAGGCUCAGACAGCCAGGAUGUUGGCUUAGAAGCAGCCAUCAUUUAAAGAAAGCGUAAUAGCUCACUGGUCGAGUCGGCCCGCGCGGAAGAUGUAACGGGGCUAAACCAUGCACCGAAGCUGCGGCAGCGACACGUAGUGUUGUUGGGUAGGGGAGCGUUCUGUAAGCCUGCGAAGGUGUACUGUGAGGUAUGCUGGAGGUAUCAGAAGUGCGAAUGCUGACAUAAGUAACGAUAAUGCGGGUGAAAAACCCGCACGCCGGAAGACCAAGGGUUCCUGUCCAACGUUAAUCGGGGCAGGGUGAGUCGACCCCUAAGGCGAGGCUGAAAAGCGUAGUCGAUGGGAAACGGGUUAAUAUUCCCGUACUGGUGGUAACUGCGAUGGGGGAACGGAGAAGGCUAGGUUGUCCGGGCGACGGUCGUCCCGGUUCAAGCAGGUAGGCAGAGUGAUUAGGCAAAUCCGGUCACUUAAUGCUGAGAUGUGAUGACGAACCACCAAGGUGGUGAAGCAAUUGAUGCCCCGCUUCCAGGAAAAGCCUCUAAGCUUCAGGUUACCAACAAUCGUACCCCAAACCGACACAGGUGGUCAGGUAGAGAAUACUCAGGCGCUUGAGAGAACUCGGGUGAAGGAACUAGGCAAAAUGGUGCCGUAACUUCGGGAGAAGGCACGCUGGCGGUAGGUAAAGUCCCUUGCGGACGGCGCUGAAGCCAGUCGAAGAUACCAGCUGGCUGCAACUGUUUAUUAAAAACACAGCACUGUGCAAACACGAAAGUGGACGUAUACGGUGUGACGCCUGCCCGGUGCUGGAAGGUUAAUUGAUGGGGUCAGCCGUAAGGCGAAGCUCCUGAUCGAAGCCCCAGUAAACGGCGGCCGUAACUAUAACGGUCCUAAGGUAGCGAAAUUCCUUGUCGGGUAAGUUCCGACCUGCACGAAUGGCGUAAUGAUGGCCAGGCUGUCUCCACCCGAGACUCAGUGAAAUUGAACUCGCUGUGAAGAUGCAGUGUACCCGCGGCAAGACGGAAAGACCCCGUGAACCUUUACUAUAGCUUGACACUGAACAUUGAGCCUUGAUGUGUAGGAUAGGUGGGAGGCUUUGAAGUGUGGACGCCAGUCUGCAUGGAGCCAACCUUGAAAUACCACCCUUUAACGUUUGAUGUUCUAACCUAGGCCCAUAAACUGGGUCGGGGACCGUGUCUGGUGGGUAGUUUGACUGGGGCGGUCUCCUCCUAAAGAGUAACGGAGGAGCACGAAGGUUGGCUAAGCAUGGUCGGACAUCAUGCGGUUAGUGCAAAGGCAUAAGCCAGCUUGACUGCGAGAGUGACGGCUCGAGCAGGUACGAAAGUAGGUCUUAGUGAUCCGGUGGUUCUGAAUGGAAGGGCCAUCGCUCAACGGAUAAAAGGUACUCCGGGGAUAACAGGCUGAUACCGCCCAAGAGUUCAUAUCGACGGCGGUGUUUGGCACCUCGAUGUCGGCUCAUCACAUCCUGGGGCUGAAGUAGGUCCCAAGGGUAUGGCUGUUCGCCAUUUAAAGUGGUACGCGAGCUGGGUUUAGAACGUCGUGAGACAGUUCGGUCCCUAUCUGCCGUGGGCGUUGGAAGAUUGAGAGGGGUUGCUCCUAGUACGAGAGGACCGGAGUGAACGCACCACUGGUGUUCGGGUUGUCAUGCCAAUGGCAUUGCCCGGUAGCUAAGUGCGGAAGAGAUAACCGCUGAAAGCAUCUAAGCGGGAAACUUGCCUCGAGAUGAGUCUUCCCUGUCGCUUUAAGCGACCUAAAGGAACGUUUAAGACUAAGACGUUGAUAGGCUGGGUGUGUAAGCGUAGCGAUACGUUGAGCUAACCAGUACUAAUGAACCGUGAGGCUUAACCU